This 301-nucleotide ribosomal RNA is filed under the name uncultured bacterium. RNAcentral describes it as "partial 16S ribosomal RNA". It matches the Rfam family "Bacterial small subunit ribosomal RNA", at positions 510 to 808 of the family's 1533-position model. The record is from RNAcentral.
CGCAGCCGCGGGAAUACAGAGGGUGCGAGCGUUAAUCGGAUUUACUGGGCGUAAAGCGUGCGUAGGCGGCUUUUUAAGUCGGAUGUGAAAUCCCUGAGCUUAACUUAGGAAUUGCAUUCGAUACUGGGAAGCUAGAGUAUGGGAGAGGAUGGUAGAAUUCCAGGUGUAGCGGUGAAAUGCGUAGAGAUCUGGAGGAAUACCGAUGGCGAAGGCAGCCAUCUGGCCUAAUACUGACGCUGAGGUACGAAAGCAUGGGGAGCAAACAGGAUUAGAUACCCCCGUAGUCCCUGUCUCUUAUACA